CAAGAACAAACUCCCAAAAAAGACCAGAGAAAAGCAGGGUAAGAAAACAAUGCAGCCAUUGACCUCCUUCUCCCAACCCACAGCUCCUUUGGCCAAAGCAAAGUCUUUGUUAAAAAUACUGAACGAGCAGGUGAAGCCUAAAUCCAGAAGCAGCAUGUGUCCUAAAAAUAAGUGUAGCCACGAAGACGUCGGUAUAUAAAUGAUUUACUUGCUCACAACCCAGACGCAGAGGAAACAAACGUCCCUUUGGCACUGCACGCUGCAGGGACUGCAGAAAAGCCCCACAUAUGCACAGACAGACGUACGUACACGAAUGCAGAGGUACUGCCAGGCAAGAGAGGUGUGUUUUCUCAGCAGUCUCAACGCCGGAGCUGUUUCAGCUGAUAAAUGGGGCAAAAUAUAGGCAAUAAAGCUGGAACACCAAAAGGCAACAAGACACUGCCUCAGAUACCAGGAGUGCCGGAUUGAUUUUGCAAUACCACAGUGCUAUAAUCACAGAAGAUAAGGCAACCAGCUGGAAAACCACCACCUGCUACUUUAAGAUCCCAUCCUAAGGGAGAAGGUUUGCCACAGCAUUUCCGUUCUCUACAAUUAAUUCAUGAACUGAGUGCUGACAAAUGGGGAUAGGAAAGCAGAGUUAUCCCAGUGUUCACAGCAGUAAUUUGACUUAUCUUCCACCAAAACCUGAAACAUAAAACCCCAUUAGCUGCUCUGGCAGGUGAUCUCCGCAGGUAACCUUCAUCCAAAUCCUUUGCAUCACCGACCUACAGGACAGCUUCCUGACUGUGCUGAUGGUUUCCAGCAUAUGCUUCCUGAACUUCACAGAAGCACAAAUGGAUACAGGACAGUACAGCUGUGCAGGAGAAGACCUGGCAGCUCAUCACCCCCGAGCAACCAAAGAGCUGGGGGUACAUUUCCUGCAGCUGGAAGGCACCGCGCACAGGCAGUGAGUUGCAGUGAUUCAGGGAAUAACAAUAGCCACACGAGAUGGGGGGAAAUAAAAGAGUGUUCCUGUGGGAGAUACAACUCCCAGCGAUGGCUGUGAUUGGAGCACCAGCACAUGGGACAACCAGAAGUGAGGGGUGUUUGACAGCCCCUGGGAUGGAAGCACAGCACCGCUGGGGAGGGCAGUCACCACCAGCAGAACUGCAGGCAAGGAAACUCCAUCACACUGACUCAGACCAACUCUGCUUUGAAUUAAAGCAUCUAUUUUAAUACA
Molecule: long non-coding RNA, 1219 nt
Organism: Gallus gallus (chicken)
Lineage: Eukaryota; Metazoa; Chordata; Aves; Galliformes; Phasianidae
Exons: 2
Source: RefSeq, a predicted model, not a curated record